This is a long non-coding RNA of Gavialis gangeticus (Gharial), 215 nucleotides long. RefSeq lists it as uncharacterized. The record is from RefSeq and is a predicted model, not a curated record. The transcript is spliced from 3 exons. NCBI's taxonomy places the organism in Eukaryota, Metazoa, Chordata, Crocodylia, Gavialidae.
UUCAGGCAGCUGAAGCAGGGCCUUGUUGCACCUUCCACUGUGAGCCACACAAAAGUUGACUGGUGUUAGUGCUAGUACAUUUCAGACCAGCAGAAGCCUGGAGUCCUGCCCCCUGUUGUCCCCCACUUCCACCCCUGGCCAAACACCACUUACUUGUGACUGCUUCCAGCGUUUAUUCCAGGGGAGCAGGCAGGGAAGGGUUAACCUACCUGCCC